RNAcentral lists this transfer-messenger RNA (346 nucleotides) under Bacilli. RNAcentral's name for it is "RUG705 sp902788975 Standard tmRNA". It matches the Rfam family "transfer-messenger RNA". Rfam says of the family: Bacterial tmRNA, also known as 10Sa RNA or SsrA, is named for its dual tRNA and mRNA-like properties. Its role is to liberate the mRNA from a stalled ribosome. Lineage: Bacteria; Bacillati; Bacillota. The record is from RNAcentral. RNAcentral also lists the same sequence under 1 other name.
GGGGUCGUCUUGGCUUCGACAGGAAUAUGCAUCUUUAUUUUGCAGGUCGAAUGUCUACGUUACAGACAAACAAAAAUAACUGGAAACAGAAAUAAUUUAGCUGUUGCAUACGCUUAAUUUAGCGGCACAGACUUCUCUACUACUUUGCUUAUGAGUUGUAACAGAAGUUAAUAAAAUAAGCUAUAAUGUAUUCUAUUCCUAUAAAAUACAUUGAAUUUAAUAGGAUAAUAAAUAUUAUUUUUGUUAAUUUAUAAGAUAUUUAUGAAUUUUUAAAAUUAACUAAACCUGUAGAUAAAUAUUGUAUAAUUAUUUUUGGACAGGGGUUCAACUCCCCUCGACUCCACCA